This 338-nucleotide unclassified non-coding RNA is filed under the name soil metagenome. RNAcentral's name for it is "partial contains 5.8S ribosomal RNA, internal transcribed spacer 2, and large subunit ribosomal RNA". The stretch from base 1 to 120 matches the Rfam family "5.8S ribosomal RNA", at positions 35 to 154 of the family's 154-position model. The record is from RNAcentral.
GAUGAAGAACGUAGCGAAAUGCGAUACGUAGUGUGAAUUGCAGAAUUCAGUGAAUCAUCGAAUCUUUGAACGCACAUUGCACCUCUCGGUAUUCCGGGAGGUAUGCCUGUUCGAGCGUCAUUUGUACCCUCAAGCUCUGCUUGGUGUUGGGUGUUUGUUCCGCCUCUGUGUGUGAACUCGCCACAAAACAAUUGGCAGCCGGCGUACUUGUUUCGGAGCGCAGCACAUUUUGCGAUCCAGAUCAACGUACAGCGGCAUCCAAGAAGCCUUAUUUAACGCUCUUGACCUCGGAUCAGGUAGGGAUACCCGCUGAACUUAAGCAUAUCAUAAGCGGAGGA